Molecule: ribosomal RNA, 253 nt
Filed under: uncultured bacterium
Lineage: Bacteria
Description: partial 16S ribosomal RNA
Rfam family: Bacterial small subunit ribosomal RNA
Source: RNAcentral
UACGAAGGGGGCUAGCGUUGCUCGGAAUUACUGGGCGUAAAGGGCGCGUAGGCGGAUAGGUUAGUCAGAGGUGAAAGCCCAGGGCUCAACCUUGGAAUUGCCUUUGAUACUGGCUAUCUUGAGUUCGGGAGAGGUGAGUGGAAUGCCGAGUGUAGAGGUGAAAUUCGUAGAUAUUCGGCGGAACACCAGUGGCGAAGGCGACUCACUGGCCCGAUACUGACGCUGAGGCGCGAAAGCGUGGGGAGCAAACAGG